This 71-nucleotide transfer RNA is filed under the name Marmota monax (woodchuck). RNAcentral describes it as "tRNA.Ala". It matches the Rfam family "tRNA". Rfam says of the family: Transfer RNA (tRNA) molecules are approximately 80 nucleotides in length. Their secondary structure includes four short double-helical elements and three loops (D, anti-codon, and T loops). Lineage: Eukaryota; Metazoa; Chordata; Mammalia; Rodentia; Sciuridae. The record is from RNAcentral.
GGGGUUGUGGCUCAGUGGUAGAGUGCUCACCUCGCACGUGUGGGGCUCUGGGUUCGAUCCCCAGCACCACA